CAGGGAGACAACAAAAUGUUUAAUAUUAUUUUGUCACCUUAGGUCGAUCGGUAUCUCACAUUCUUAAUUUUUUAAGAAUUUCAUUCCCUAAGUUUUUCUAGGUCACACCCAUUAGUUUUCCUGGGCCAUUAGCUCAGGUGGUUAGAGCGCACCCCUGAUAAGGGUGAGGUCCCUGGUUCAAGUCCAGGAUGGCCCAUAUCUCUAUGUUGGGGGUAUAGCUCAGUUGGUAGAGCGCCUGCUUUGCAAGCAGGAUGUCAGCGGUUCGAGUCCGCUUACCUCCACUGAUUACCACCUCUUCCAUAAUUUGUAGAAAGGAAAAAUUUUGAGCUGUGAUCAUUUUCUGAACGACUCUAGCUUCCUAGUAAAAUUACUAAGAUGCUGGACUCAUUGAAUUAAUUUCAUUGUUUUCAGAGAACCUUGACAACUGCAUAGAUUAUUUUAAAGACAAUAAGCAUCUUUAAUGAUGCAGAUUUAUUAUUUGUGCUAAUGCAUUAAUAACAAUUCUAUUAAGCUGAUGCUUCA
RNAcentral lists this transfer RNA (522 nucleotides) under uncultured Prochlorococcus sp. RNAcentral describes it as "partial 16S-23S ribosomal RNA intergenic spacer". The stretch from base 209 to 281 matches the Rfam family "tRNA". Lineage: Bacteria; Bacillati; Cyanobacteriota; Cyanophyceae; Synechococcales; Prochlorococcaceae. The record is from RNAcentral.